GACGAAAUUCGAGCAGCUACGUC
This 23-nucleotide non-coding RNA is filed under the name Arabidopsis thaliana (thale cress). The record is from RNAcentral. Lineage: Eukaryota; Viridiplantae; Streptophyta; Magnoliopsida; Brassicales; Brassicaceae.